AUUAAGAGUUUGAUCCUAGCUCAGGAUGAACGCUGGCGGCGUGGAUAAGGCAUGCAAGUCAAGCGAGCUGUGCAUAGCACAGAAAUUCCAAAAUCCAAAUCUCAAAUUCCAAACAAUGAUUAAAUUCCAAUUCUCAAAAAUUAAAUUUUGAUUAUUGAGAUUUGUUUGGAGCUUGAAUAUUGGAGCUUGGUGUUUCCGCGCUGUGCGCGGUUAGCGGCAGACGAGGUAGUAAUAAGCAGGUACGCACCCCCAAGUUGGGAAUAGCCAUUCGAAAGAGUGGGUAAUACCCAAUGGUCUGGUAAUCAAUCUUUGCUCGUGAUUUUUGUUUUGGAAAUUCCAAAUCACAAGUUCCAAAUCACAAAUAAUUUUUAAGUUUAAAUUUUAAUUGUUGAAAUUUGUUUGGAAAUUGGAGCUUGGAAAUUAUGAUUUUCGAGCAGAUUGCGAUUGAAGGUUGGUUACCAGUAAAAGAGAAAUCUGCUCGGGGAGCGGCCUGUUCAGUAUCAGCUAGUUGGUAGGGUAAUGGCCUACCAAGGCGAUGACGCUUAGGGGGGGUGAGAGCCUGUUCCCCACCGAUGGGACUGAGAACGGCCCAUACACCUACGGGUGGCUGCAGCCGAGAAUAUUCCACAAUGGGCGAAAGCCUGAUGGAGCGACGCCGCGUGGAGGACGAAGUGCUUCGGCAUGUAAACUCCUUUUGUGAACUAGAAAGUUUAUUGAUCGGUUCAAGAAUAAGAGGUUGCUAAACUCGUAAAAAUUAAAGUUUAGCAGCAAGAAAAGACUUGUACUCGUAAAAAUCCGUAGUGCGACUUCCUCGCGAAAGCGGGGUUGAAUAAUUCGGCUUAUAUGCGGGAAACCUUUAUAGAGCUGCGUUCCGAUGUUGUUUCGGGAUUCUAUAUUGACAAUCCGCAGGGAAGUCUCCGCCAACUGGUGGAUGACCCUUCAGAGACUGAUCUCUAGGGUUGGUAAACCCGACGAGUGAGAUGGAGAUGUAACAAUCUUCAUCAGACGCCGAACUCCAGCACUGAUUUUUGGGUUCAAAAUAAAAAAGGCCCCGUAACAUGUACGGGGCCAGGCAAUCGGAUAGAAUCUAAAAAUUAGUGCUGGAUGAUGAUAUAGUCCAUGAUAUAAUUAUUAAGUGAGACGAAGUGUACAAAAAAUCAUUAUUGGUUCUUUAUUGGGAGAUGGAUGGUUAAAUCCUAUGACACCAACUCAGAAGUCUUCUUAUCGUGUCAAAUACAGCGAUAGAUCCAUAGGAUAUCUAACAUGGAUACAUGAUCAAGUUGCAGAAUUGAAGCCAUCUGAAUUGAAGAGUAUCCCAAAAUACUCGCAACAUCUCUUUUAUACAGAAUCAAGGACUGAUUUAGGUGAAUUUCGAAAACUUUUCUAUCCUAAUGAGGGGGAAAAGAGGGUCCCACAAAACAUAAAAUCAUUGCUUAAAGAUCCUUUAUCUUUAGCGGUGUGGUUUAUGGAUGAUGGUACUCUUGAUUUUCGAGAUAAAUACCACCGAAAUGCUCUAUUUGCGACACAUUGUUUUUCAUUUAAUGAUUGCAAUCUCUUAAGUGAUAUGUUGCGAGAAAACUUUGGAUUAAAAGUUUCUGUCUGCAAGUGUCAGAUGCGUGGGAAAAUGUAUUAUAGGUUAUAUGUUUAUUCGGAGAGUAUGAAACUUUUCGAAGAUAUUAUUAAACCUUUUAUGCAUAAAGAUUACGCAUAUAAAAUUAGAAAUUGUCAAGGCCAGCAGCAGCGGUAAUACGAGUGCCUCGAGCGUUAUCCGGAAUUAUUGGGCGUAAAGGGUGUGUAGGCGGCUUUGGCCCGAUGUAAGAGUCGGGCUCCCGAUACCGUAAGGUCGUCGGGAUUAGUCCUUGGUCAAAUUCUUCGGCUUAACCGGGGGUCCGCCAAGGAAACGGCAAAGCUUGAGGGUGCGAGAGGUGAAUGGAACUCAUGGUGUAGGGGUGAAAUCCGUUGAUAUCAUGGGGAACACCAAAAGCGAA
This 1988-nucleotide ribosomal RNA is filed under the name Candidatus Taylorbacteria bacterium RIFCSPHIGHO2_02_FULL_44_36. RNAcentral's name for it is "partial 16S ribosomal RNA". The stretch from base 6 to 828 matches the Rfam family "Bacterial small subunit ribosomal RNA", at positions 9 to 546 of the family's 1533-position model. The record is from RNAcentral. Lineage: Bacteria; Candidatus Tayloriibacteriota.